CCUACGGGUGGCAGCAGUCGAGAAUCAUUCACAAUGGGGGCAACCCUGAUGGUGCGAAGCAGCGUGCGGGAAUGAAGGUCUUCGGAUUGUAAACCCCUGUCAUGUGGGAGCAAAUUAAAAAGAUAGUACCACAUAAGGAAGAUACGGCUAAGUCUAUGCCCGCCGCCGCGGUAAUACACAGGUCUCAAGCGUUGUUCGGAAUCACUGGGCGUAAAGCGUGUGGAGGCUGUUUCGUAAGUCGUGUGUGAAAGGCGCGGGCUCAACCCGCGGACGGCACAUGAUACUGGGAGACUAGAGUAAUGGAGGGGGAACCGGAAUUCUCGGUGUAGCAGUGAAAUGCGUAGAUAUCGAGAGGAACACUCGUGGCGAAGGCAGGUUCCUGGACAUUAACUGACGCUGAGGCACGAAGGCCAGGGGAGCGAAAGGGAUUAGAUACCCGAGUAGUC
This 446-nucleotide ribosomal RNA is filed under the name uncultured bacterium. RNAcentral's name for it is "partial 16S ribosomal RNA". It matches the Rfam family "Bacterial small subunit ribosomal RNA", at positions 338 to 795 of the family's 1533-position model. The record is from RNAcentral.